Molecule: small RNA, 167 nt
Filed under: Arabidopsis thaliana (thale cress)
Lineage: Eukaryota; Viridiplantae; Streptophyta; Magnoliopsida; Brassicales; Brassicaceae
Description: ATSL035850
Source: RNAcentral
CCAAAAGAGGGUAAAACCAACAAAAUAUUGCUUAGAAGGAGUAAAUAGCUUUGUUAGUGUUUCUAUUGUCAAAAUUUGUCACAAUCGAAUACAUUUGACUAAUUAUAAGAGUUAGAGAUAGAUUAGGAGUGUUUAGGUAAUACUUAUACCCAUUUUCUCCCAAAACG